This 1304-nucleotide ribosomal RNA is filed under the name uncultured euryarchaeote. RNAcentral describes it as "16S ribosomal RNA". It matches the Rfam family "Archaeal small subunit ribosomal RNA", at positions 75 to 1383 of the family's 1478-position model. Lineage: Archaea; Methanobacteriati; Methanobacteriota. The record is from RNAcentral.
GGCUCGGCGAACUGCUCAGUAACACGUGGCCAACCUGCCUUUAGGUGGGGGAUAAUCCUGGGAAACUGGGAAUAAUACCCCAUAGGUGAUUAUAGUUGGAAUACUUUUUCACUCAAAGACUUGUCGCCUAGAGAUGGGGCUGCGGCGGAUUAGUUUGUUGGUGAGGUAAAAGCUCACCAAGGCGAUAAUCCGUACGGGUCAUGAGAGUGAUAGCCCGGAGAUGCACUCUGAGACAUUAGUGCAGGCCCUACGGGGCGCAGCAGGCGCGAAACCUUCACAAUGGACGAAAGUCUGAUGAGGGGACCCCGAGUGAAUUCACUUUGUGGAUUCUUUUGUUAAGUCUAGAAAGCUCAGCGAAUAAGUGGUGGGCAAGACGGUUGCCAGCCGCCACGGUAAUAACCGCGCCACGAGUGGUAACCACUUUUAUUGGGCCUAAAGCAUCCGUAGCCGGCUCAAUAAGUCUUUGGUGAAAUCGGGCAGCUAACUGUUCGGCUUGCUAAAGAUACUGUUGAACUUGGGACCGGGAAAGGUUAGGGGUAUUCCAUGGGUAAGGGUAAAAUCUGUUGAUCCAUGGAGGACCACCUGUGGCGAAGCGCCUAACUGGAACGGAUCCGACGGUGAGGGAUGAAAGCUAGGGGAGCGACUCGGAUUAGAUACCCGAUUAGUCCUAGCCGUAAACGAUGCCCACUUGGUGUGUGGAGACCUUCGAGGUUUUCAUGUGCCGUAGCGAAGGUGUUAAGUGGGCCGCCUGGGGAGUACGAUCGCAAGGUUGAAACUUAAGGGAAUUGGCGGGGGAGCACUACAAGAGGUGGAGGCUGCGGUUUAAUUGGAUACAACGCCAGGAAUCUCACCAGAGAAGACAGCAGGAUGAUGGUCAGCCUAAAGGGCUUACCUGACAAGCUGAGAGGUGCUGCAUGGCCGUCGUCAGUUCGUGCCGUGAGGUGUCCUGUUAAGUCAGGAAACGAACAAGAUCUGCGUCGUUAGUUGCUACUAUACUUUCCGAGGUAUAGGCACUUUAGCGAGACUGCCCGCGCUAAGUGGGAGGAAGGUGCAGGCAACGGCAGGUCUGUAUGGCCCGAAUUCUCUUGGGCUACACGCGGCCUACAAUGCGUGGAACAACGGGUCGCGACACCGUGAGGUGAAGCUAAUCCCUUAAAUCCAUGCUUAGUUCGGAUCGAGGGCUGAAACUCGCCCUCGUGAAGCCGGAAUCUCUAGUAAGCGGAGGUCAUCAUCUUUCGCUGAAUACGUCCCUGCUCCUUGCACACACCGCCCGUCAAGCCACUUGAGUGGGGCUUUGGUGAGGC